GGGUCGGUAGCUCAAUCGGUAGAGCAGAUCCCUCUUAAGGAUAAGGUUCUGGGUUCGAUUCCCAGCCGACCCACCA
This 76-nucleotide transfer RNA is filed under the name Candidatus Uhrbacteria bacterium CG10_big_fil_rev_8_21_14_0_10_48_11. Its description in RNAcentral is "tRNA-Lys". It matches the Rfam family "tRNA". From Rfam's summary of the family: Transfer RNA (tRNA) molecules are approximately 80 nucleotides in length. Their secondary structure includes four short double-helical elements and three loops (D, anti-codon, and T loops). The record is from RNAcentral. Lineage: Bacteria; Candidatus Uhriibacteriota.